GACGAACGCUGGCGGCGUGCUUAACACACGCAAGUCGAACGGAAAGGCCCUGCUUUUGUGGGGUGCUCGAGUGGCGAACGGGUGAGUAACACGUGAGUAACCUGCCCUUGACUUUGGGAUAACUUCAGGAAACUGGGGCUAAUACCGGAUAGGAGCUCCUGCUGCAUGGUGGGGGUUGGAAAGUUUCGGCGGUUGGGGAUGGACUCGCGGCUUAUCAGCUUGUUGGUGGGGUAGUGGCUUACCAAGGCUUUGACGGGUAGCCGGCCUGAGAGGGUGACCGGCCACAUUGGGACUGAGAUACGGCCCAGACUCCUACGGGGGGCAGCAGUGGGGAAUAUUGCACAAUGGGCGGAAGCCUGAUGCAGCAACGCCGCGUGCGGGAUGACGGCCUUCGGGUUGUAAACCGCUUUCGCCUGUGACGAAGCGUGAGUGACGGUAAUGGGUAAAGAAGCACCGGCUAACUACGUG
RNAcentral lists this ribosomal RNA (468 nucleotides) under uncultured bacterium. RNAcentral describes it as "partial 16S ribosomal RNA". It matches the Rfam family "Bacterial small subunit ribosomal RNA", at positions 28 to 507 of the family's 1533-position model. The record is from RNAcentral.